Molecule: unclassified non-coding RNA, 337 nt
Filed under: soil metagenome
Description: partial contains 5.8S ribosomal RNA, internal transcribed spacer 2, and large subunit ribosomal RNA
Rfam family: 5.8S ribosomal RNA (bases 1-120)
Source: RNAcentral
GAUGAAGAACGUAGCGAAAUGCGAUAAGUAGUGUGAAUUGCAGAAUUCAGUGAAUCAUCGAAUCUUUGAACGCACAUUGCGCCCCUUGGUAUUCCAUGGGGCAUGCCUGUUCGAGCGUCAUUUGUACCCUCAAGCUUUGCUUGGUGUUGGGUGUUUGUCCCGCGUUGCGCGUGGACUCGCCUUAAAGCGAUUGGCAGCCGGCAUAUUGGCCUUGGAGCGCAGCACAUUUUGCGCUUCUAGUCAUGAAUGUUGGCGUCCAUUAAGCCUAUACAUUUGCUCUUGACCUCGGAUCGGGUAGGGAUACCCGCUGAACUUAAGCAUAUCAAUAAGCGGAGGA